GCUUCUGUGGCGCAACUGGUUAGCGCGUGACGCUGUUAACGUCAAGGUUUCGUGGUUCGAGUCCACGCAGGAGCG
Molecule: non-coding RNA, 75 nt
Organism: Chytridium lagenaria
Lineage: Eukaryota; Fungi; Chytridiomycota; Chytridiomycetes; Chytridiales; Chytridiaceae
Source: the annotation of a GenBank genome assembly